AGCGGAGGAAAAGAAACUAACAAGGAUUCCCCUAGUAACUGCGAGUGAAGCGGGAAAAGCUCAAAUUUAAAAUCUGGCGGUCUUUGGCCGUCCGAGUUGUAGUCUGGAGAAGUGCUUUCCGCGCUGGACCGUGUACAAGUCUCCUGGAAUGGAGCGUCAUAGAGGGUGAGAAUCCCGUCUUUGACACGGACUACCAGUGCUCUGUGAUGCGCUCUCAAAGAGUCGAGUUGUUUGGGAAUGCAGCUCAAAAUGGGUGGUGAAUUCCAUCUAAAGCUAAAUAUUGGCGAGAGACCGAUAGCGAACAAGUACCGUGAGGGAAAGAUGAAAAGCACUUUGGAAAGAGAGUUAAACAGUACGUGAAAUUGUUGAAAGGGAAACGCUUGAAGUCAGUCGCGUCCGCCAGAACUCAGCCUUGCAAUCUUGCCUGGUGUACUUUCUGGUGGACGGGCCAGCAUCAAUUUCGACUGCCGGACAAGGGCUGGGGGAAUGUGGCACCUUCGGGUGUGUUAUAGCCUCCAGUCGUAUACGGUGAUUGGGAUUGAGGAAUUCAGCAUGCCUUUAUGGUCGGGGUUCGCCCACGUUCAUGCUUAGGAUGCUGGCGUAAUGGCUUUAAACGACCCGCU
Molecule: ribosomal RNA, 623 nt
Filed under: Hericium erinaceus (lion's mane mushroom)
Lineage: Eukaryota; Fungi; Basidiomycota; Agaricomycetes; Russulales; Hericiaceae
Description: eukaryotic LSU rRNA
Rfam family: Eukaryotic large subunit ribosomal RNA
Source: RNAcentral